GCCUACGGGAGGCAGCAGUGGGGAGUAUUGCGCAAUGGGCGAAAGCCUGACGCAGCGACGCCGCGUGAGGGAUGGAGGUCUUCGGAUCGUAAACCUCUGUCAGCAGGGAAGAACGGUCACUGUGCUAAUCAGCAGUGAAUUGACGGUACCUGCAAAGGAAGCACCGGCUAACUCCGUGCCAGCAGCCGCGGUAAUACGGAGGGUGCGAGCGUUAAUCGGAAUUACUGGGCGUAGAGCGCUCGUAGGCGGUAUGUCAAGUCAAGGGUGAAAUCCCCGCGCUCAACGUGGGAACUGCCUUUGAAACU
This 305-nucleotide ribosomal RNA is filed under the name uncultured bacterium. RNAcentral's name for it is "bacterial SSU rRNA". It matches the Rfam family "Bacterial small subunit ribosomal RNA", at positions 337 to 634 of the family's 1533-position model. The record is from RNAcentral.